Molecule: non-coding RNA, 1601 nt
Organism: Microcebus murinus (gray mouse lemur)
Lineage: Eukaryota; Metazoa; Chordata; Mammalia; Primates; Cheirogaleidae
Source: RefSeq, a predicted model, not a curated record
GAGUCGAACAAAUCAGCCCACCACUGUGGCCGAUAACCAAAUACAGACACAUGACCGGACAUUGAGUUGAUGUCCAACAACACCUGCAAAAUACAGAGGAAAGUUUGAUUUAAAAAGAUUUGUGCUGACAGGUCACCACCCUUGAGAAGCUUCCCCUGGCCAUCCUCCUUGCAGUCCCCACAUCCCAGAAUAUAAGCUGCUGGAGAUGAGGAACUCCGUCUGGUCCUAGGUGCUGCUGGAUUCUUAGCGCCUAGAAAAGAGGCCGGAACGCUUAAGCAAACCUUUGUUGACUCCAUGAGUGAACCUGGUUGUGUUACAUUAACAGAUGAGUAGACUGGGGCCCAGGAGUGUUAAGCAUCUUCCUCAGGGUCCCACAGGUAGCUGGCGGCAGAGCUGGGACCAAAAGUAAGGCACCUGACCCUUCGUGUGCUCGAGCUCGCGGACUCUUGGUGGAAAAUCCUGAUAUUCGUAUUCUCGAUGCUUGGCAAUUACGUGGACACUGGCAUGCGUGUGGGAACACACCAAGGUGUCGAAACUGCAGCCCUGUCACACUCCCCAGUCUCGCCACCCGGGAAAGCAAUUAACAUCGAGAAUUUUCUGAAGCGCUCGCAGUUUCACCUCCGCAAGAGAGUUAGGGAAAUUUCCUCUCCCACAAAUGACAUUAGCAAUUUAGAAAAUGAUUUAAAAACAAGAGGGCUUUCACAAUAUUGCCAAUAACAGUUAGCAAACCUCAUUAAGGAGACGGUCUGAUGUGGAAAUCACUACAAUUCUAUUUCACAGCAAAAUACUGUAAUUAAGCCGUUGUGUGUCUGUGUUAUUUAGCAAAUGAAUAAUUACACUAUGCCCUUGAGACUUGCUGCUACUUUGGAGCACCGGGCUAAUACCCUUUCAGUCUCGUCUGGAACUCACUCUAAUGUGCGAUAUGUUCUGAGCCACGCUCAGGGCAAGUGACUGCUUUAUACAAGGAGAUAUUAGAGCCACCGCAAAAGUAGUCAGUGCGCUACAGGCCAUAAGACACCAAGGACGGCUGAUGUACGCUUAGACUGCAUUCGAUUUGGAAAAACAGAGAGUUGUUAACUCACCCAGUGGGCACUGAGCAUUUUGCAGGCAGUCAGUUUCUCUUCCUGACACUAGAAAUAUAAGGGCGGCAACAGCCCCUGAUACUGGUGAACCAUUGUCUGUUUAGAGGGGCAUCCAUCUAUAAAAUCACAGACUCGGAUUGGAACAAUGACAAUAUCACAAUCUAUGGCUUGUCCAACUUACGCCCUUCCCCCAAUCCAAAAUGACCUUGCCAAAGAGACAUUUGAUAUCCUGGAUCCAGCCAAAGAAAAACAGAGUCAAACCCUCUGUUAUCUUUGCAGCUGCCCAAGGUUCAUUGAUGUCUUUUGCUACAGCCUGGAAAACCCUAAGGUCGGAAGGAGUUCAGCUUGCUUCCGGUUAACGUUAGUUACCAUCAGUGUUAGGAUGUGCUUUUAAAUGGAGAAGCAACGUUAAGAUCUAGAACUGUGCGCAAUAAUUUUCUGUGGUUUACAAGCCAUCCAGUUGAUGGUAUGCCAUUAGAGCACCCCAAGAGGACUCAGACAGACAUGCACCAUCACACA